RNAcentral lists this ribosomal RNA (234 nucleotides) under uncultured bacterium. RNAcentral's name for it is "partial 16S ribosomal RNA". It matches the Rfam family "Bacterial small subunit ribosomal RNA", at positions 96 to 334 of the family's 1533-position model. The record is from RNAcentral.
CGGCGAACGGGUGAGUAACGCGUGGAUAACCUGCCCUGAGGUGUGGAACAACCAAGGGAAACUUUGGCUAAUACCGCAUGAUACCGAGAGGUCAAAGGGGGCUCGCAAGGGCUCUCGCCACAGGAGGGGUCCGCGUCCGAUUAGCUAGUUGGUAGGGUAAUGGCCUACCAAGGCGACGAUCGGUAGCCGGCCUGAGAGGGUGAUCGGCCACACUGGAACUGAGACACGGUCCAG